Molecule: non-coding RNA, 96 nt
Filed under: bovine gut metagenome
Source: RNAcentral
UCACAGGGGUGCCCGGAGAGGCUGAGAAGUGCGCAGAUUGCGCAAAACCCUUACUACUUGAUCCGGAUAAUACCGGCGGAGGGAGGCAGACAUUUA